RNAcentral lists this transfer RNA (76 nucleotides) under Pontivivens insulae. RNAcentral's name for it is "tRNA-Val". It matches the Rfam family "tRNA". Rfam says of the family: Transfer RNA (tRNA) molecules are approximately 80 nucleotides in length. Their secondary structure includes four short double-helical elements and three loops (D, anti-codon, and T loops). The record is from RNAcentral. Lineage: Bacteria; Pseudomonadati; Pseudomonadota; Alphaproteobacteria; Rhodobacterales; Paracoccaceae.
GGGCGGUUAGCUCAGUUGGUAGAGCAAUUCGUUUACACCGAAUGGGUCGGGGGUUCGAACCCCUCACCGCCCACCA